Molecule: ribosomal RNA, 252 nt
Filed under: uncultured bacterium
Lineage: Bacteria
Description: partial 16S ribosomal RNA
Rfam family: Bacterial small subunit ribosomal RNA
Source: RNAcentral
UACGGAGGAUGCGAGCGUUAUCCGGAUUUAUUGGGUUUAAAGGGUGCGUAGGCGGACGCUUAAGUCAGCGGUAAAAUUGCGGGGCUCAACCUCGUCGAGCCGUUGAAACUGGGUGCCUUGAGUGGGCGAGAAGUACGCGGAAUGCGUGGUGUAGCGGUGAAAUGCAUAGAUAUCAUGCAGAACUCCGAUUGCGAAGGCAGCGUACCGGCGCCCAACUGACGCUGAAGCACGAAGGCGUGGGUAUCGAACAGG